CCCCCAGCAGGUAUAAGUAUUGGGGGUAAUGCCUGCCCAGUGACACUGUUAAACGGCCGCGGUAUCCUAACCGUGCAAAGGUAGCGUAAUCACUUGUCUUUUAAAUAAAGACUAGAAUGAACGGCCAAACGAGGCUCUAACUGUCUCUUACAAAUAAUCAGUGAAAUUGAUCUUCCCGUGCAAAAGCAGGAAUAACCACAUAAGACGAGAAGACCCUGUGGAACUUCAAAUAUAAAAUCAACUAUAAUUAACACCCACCCAACAGGCCUAUUGCCUAAUAGUAUUUGAUUCUUAUUUUCGGUUGGGGCGACCUCGGAGAAAAACAAAACCUCCGAAAAAUAAAAAACUUUUUAAACCUAGAGCAACAACUCAAAGUGCUCUCGGCAAAACGAUCCAAUAUAAUUGAUCAACGAACCAAGCUACCCCAGGGAUAACAGCGCAAUCCCAUUCUAGAGUCCCUAUCGACGAUGGGGUUUACGACCUCGAUGUUGGAUCAGGACAUCCUGAUGGUGUAGCCGCUAUCAAGGGUUCGUUUGUUCAACGAUU
RNAcentral lists this ribosomal RNA (546 nucleotides) under Geochelone elegans (star tortoise). Its description in RNAcentral is "partial 16S ribosomal RNA". It matches the Rfam family "Bacterial large subunit ribosomal RNA", at positions 1819 to 2589 of the family's 2925-position model. Lineage: Eukaryota; Metazoa; Chordata; Testudines; Testudinidae. The record is from RNAcentral.